CUAUUGGAGAAGCUCGGACAUUGAUGAAGUUCGGAGUAAAGUUGCUUGUGGCAGGAGGAAGUCUGGAAGAGAUUCAGAGGAUAGCCAAUCACUGUAGAAAGUCGGCUGAUAAUGAAGCCCAGAGAGCAUUUGAAGCAGUCCGGUAGAUGAAUGGGGGAGCUCAUUAUUGGAGAAGUCCAGGUGGCAUUAUGGAAGCUCGGACUGUUGGGGGAGUUCAGAAAGAUACCACACA
This 232-nucleotide long non-coding RNA is filed under the name Elaeis guineensis (African oil palm). RNAcentral describes it as "long non-coding RNA (EGUI_LNC051461)". The record is from RNAcentral. Lineage: Eukaryota; Viridiplantae; Streptophyta; Magnoliopsida; Arecales; Arecaceae.